AGAACCUCCAUGCAUGAAAAACAUGCGUUUCGCCGGAGUCUGGGCUCUCUCGCGAACAAUGGAUGACGUCACUGCUACGUCACUCACGUGUGACGUCACCUGAAGACUUUUUUUCCCUAAGUUAGUUUUGACUUUUCCCCGUGUCGCCACGGAGUGCCUAGUAUGUCACGUGCUUGAUGAAUUUCGUCCCUAAUGUCCUAGUGUCAUCUUCACCUCCGCCGGCGCUGUCUCCGCGCACGUACGCGCACGUGUCACGAAGUGUCGUCGGUGUCGUCAAGUAGCCGCAAAAGUCAAUACUCCCAUGAAAUGCGACGUUUGUGGCGUUGGCCUGUCUUCACUGGAAAAAUAUGGGGAGCACCACAUCGCAGCGCACAAAUUCGCCGCCGAAUACGUGCAGCAGGCGUUCCACAAAGAUAAAGAAUUCAGUGAAUGGAAAGCUCAGGAAGAGGCGAACUGUUGGUUUGUUCUUCACACGGCUCCCAAAAAGCUGGCCAGUGGGGAAACGAGGAGCCACUACUACUCUAAUAGAUCAGGAGUGGCUAGGCCAAAGGAAGGUCAUGGUAAUCGUCGAGAAAAAAGUCAGGGUACCUGCAAGUCCGGUAAGAUAUGUCUUUCAUUUAUUACUGUGACGAAGAAGGAGAACACUCAGAGCCCGGCACCUGAAGAUAUCACCAUAAAUGUAAGGUACCAAAGAAAGCAUUAUGGCCAUGAAGCAGAAAUUCAGC
Long non-coding RNA from Rhipicephalus sanguineus (brown dog tick), 725 nucleotides. RefSeq lists it as uncharacterized. The record is from RefSeq and is a predicted model, not a curated record. Lineage: Eukaryota; Metazoa; Arthropoda; Arachnida; Ixodida; Ixodidae. The transcript has 2 exons.